UGUACCAGUAAUACAAAACGCUUAAUAACGUUUGAAACCGCAACCAUCCACAUCCGCAAAAUCCCGCAUCCGCAACCGCAACUGCUGCGUUUAAACCAGUCGGGCCCUUAGUCGUUUAAAUGACAAAUGAUGGGGAGUUAUUGGAAUAUCAAUGUGGCGUUUUUAGAAAGUAUUUCUGUGGACCAUGUAUGAUCAUGGGAGAUACUUAUAUAGUGUAUAUCUUUAUAUAUAAAAUACUGUUUAAUCACUCCUUAGUGCGCCACCUAGGAUUCCAAGUCAUUAAGUCGUCUCCUAACGUUGCGACACGUGUGCGUUGAAGCCAAAACAUAUCGUAUCAUUUAUUUAGGUAUCUGGUGGGCUUUAAUCGUUGCGAAAUCAGGGCUGGGGAUGGGCUUUAUCGUUACACGUGUAUAUGACGUUUACAUGCCAUUUUACCUUAAUGAUGCUUGAAGUCAUGAUUGUAAGAUAAAGAGUGAUUCACUAAUGUUCUGUAUUUGCGUAUUUGUAGCAAGGAUAAUGCUGUGAAGAACAUGUUUAAGCGACGUUGUUGUAAGAAGAGAGCCAAGUAUGAAACGAUGGACAACAAGAAGAGCCCAAACAAGAAUAUAAUAUUGUUCUUAGACGGUUGUACUACUCCAGUAAAGACGAAUAUGAAAAUUAUAUUGCCAAGAGAACAAGGAGCUUGCUCCAUAUAAGGGAUUGAGCUGAGGAUGAAGCGAGAAGAAAAAGAGAGCAGGAUGUGUUA
Brassica napus (rape) is the source of this 745-nucleotide long non-coding RNA. RefSeq lists it as uncharacterized. The record is from RefSeq and is a predicted model, not a curated record. The transcript has 2 exons. NCBI's taxonomy places the organism in Eukaryota, Viridiplantae, Streptophyta, Magnoliopsida, Brassicales, Brassicaceae.